AGCUGACUGUUUGUACCCUGGGGUGGGAAUUCAAAUAUUGUUUAUCAGUGGAAAUGUUAACUACGUGUCCUUUGUUGGGAGUAAAGCAACCUGAUUUCUCAUACUUCUUCUGAAAGCAGGAACUCAUUGGAGAGAAAAAAUGUGUGCCAGCAGGGAAAAAGGAAGAGCUUUCAUCUAUGAUGAGAAGAUUUGCAUAAGAAAAGCAAGUAGAUUUGAGUCUAGCUUUUGCUGUUGACAUCGACAUCGAAAGCAUGAGCAUCAGUGAGUCCUCUCAAUUUAUUCAGAAAGAAAACAAUUGUUUUGUAAGUCAGGUGCUUUGAUUCCUUCCUGACUGCGGAAGGCCUUUCUGGGUCCUCAGCACUCUGGUGGAGUGAAGGUGCUUUUCUUUUUCCAUCUUGAAUCCCUUCCUGGACAGUUUGUACCAAUUCUUUCUCAUAUUUUAUUUGGGAGAAGGGGAGAGAAACUGUCUCGCAAUUUUCAGAUUCAUUUGAAUUUUUCUCUGAGCCCCAGACACCUGGUGGAAAGAUGCCAGCAAUGCUGUAGGCUGGUUUGAUGUACCAAUAAAAAUAAAAUUAAAUUUUAAAAACCCCAACCCUCGUGUAAGAAAAGCGCCAUUCUUAGAAAGCCUCCAGCGUUCCAGCUAGAGCACAAACAGCUGCUUAUUUAGGACUCUUCUCGGUAAAUCCACAGUCUCGGGCCAAAGGGGCAGCAGCUCUUGUGGUCUCGCACUAGCCCAGACCCCCCCAGGAGGGGGAACACACAGGGGAGAAGGGAAGGAACGAGUAGGGAGAGGGAACCAUCCCCAAACAGCGGCUGAAACUUCGCCUGAGGAGGGCCGACGCUCCGCUGGGUCGA
Long non-coding RNA from Serinus canaria (Common canary), 855 nucleotides. RefSeq lists it as uncharacterized. NCBI's taxonomy places the organism in Eukaryota, Metazoa, Chordata, Aves, Passeriformes, Fringillidae. The record is from RefSeq and is a predicted model, not a curated record. The transcript has 3 exons.